This 253-nucleotide ribosomal RNA is filed under the name uncultured bacterium. RNAcentral's name for it is "partial 16S ribosomal RNA". It matches the Rfam family "Bacterial small subunit ribosomal RNA", at positions 524 to 776 of the family's 1533-position model. The record is from RNAcentral.
UACGGGGGGGGCAAGCGUUGUUCGGAAUUACUGGGCGUAAAGGGCACGUAGGUGGCUAUUUAAGUUGGAUGUAAAAUCCCCGAGCUUAACUUGGGAAGGACAUCUGAAACUGGAUAGCUUGAGUACAGUAGAGGGAAGCGGAAUUUCCGGUGUAGCGGUGAAAUGCGUAGAUAUCGGAAAGAACACCAGUGGCGAAGGCGGCUUUCUGGACUGAUACUGACACUGAGGUGCGAAAGCGUGGGGAGCGAACAGG